RNAcentral lists this long non-coding RNA (530 nucleotides) under Mus pahari (shrew mouse). RNAcentral describes it as "lncRNA (MGP_PahariEiJ_G0012429.1)". The record is from RNAcentral. Lineage: Eukaryota; Metazoa; Chordata; Mammalia; Rodentia; Muridae.
AUGCAUUUAUUUUCAGUGUGCUGGGUAUAAAUAUGCAAGUGCUGACAUGGGCUGCAUUUUUCAAUUUUAUGGCCAAGUGACGUCUACAGCCGACUGAUAAAUGGAAGCUUUGAGGAGGGGGCUUGCCACAAUCCAGCCUGGCAUGAAAGGGUCCCAAGGAAAGGUAGCGAUGGGGUAUUGAGUCAGUGGUGAAACCAAAGCUUAUUUAUCUUUGGCAAUUCUUCUGUCUAUGACUCUUUGCUAUUCUAAGGCCAAAUGCCUUUGGUUUCUGGAUGUCUGCCCAACAAGGUAAGCUAAUGCCCAGGAAUCAUUAGGCUACGUAGUGGUGACAGAAAAGGCACAUCAGCUGCUUUUAAGAAGCAAUCCUAAGAUGAAGUCUGACCUUGCCUCUCAGAGCUCAUCCAUCAUAAGCUAUGCGAAAACAGUGAGUGGGCCACCUCCAGGAAAGUCACCCACUAGCCCUCACCUCUCCUGGAUGGCUCCUGAAAGGGGGUUAAGUAUUUUCUAUAACAAAAUAAAAUCUAAUAAGA